This 848-nucleotide ribosomal RNA is filed under the name Clostridioides difficile. Its description in RNAcentral is "bacterial LSU rRNA". It matches the Rfam family "Bacterial large subunit ribosomal RNA", at positions 683 to 1536 of the family's 2925-position model. Lineage: Bacteria; Bacillati; Bacillota; Clostridia; Peptostreptococcales; Peptostreptococcaceae. The record is from RNAcentral.
UUUAACUGAGCGUUCAGUUACUUGACGUAGACCCGAAACCGGGCGACCUACCCAUGAGCAGGAUGAAGCGAAAGUAAAAUUUCGUGGAGGUCCGAACCCACGAGCGUUGAAAAGCUCGGGGAUGACUUGUGGGUAGCGGUGAAAUUCCAAUCGAGCCCGGAGAUAGCUGGUUCUCCCCGAAAUAGCUUUAGGGCUAGCCUCAAGGUGAGAGAUACGGAGGUAGAGCACUGAAUGUCCUAGGGGGUAUUGCACCUACCGAAGACUAUCAAACUCCGAAUGCCGUCAUCUUAUACUUGGGAGUCAGACUGUGGGUGAUAAGAGUCAUAGUCGAAAGGGCAACAGCCCAGAUCGUCAGCUAAGGUCCCUAAAUGUAAGUUAAGUGGUAAAGGAUGUGGGAUUGCACAGACAACCAGGAUGUUGGCUUAGAAGCAGCCACUCAUUCAAAGAGUGCGUAAUAGCUCACUGGUCGAGUGAUCCUGCGCCGAAGAUUUCCGGGGCUAAAACUUACUACCGAAGCUACGGCAUCAGUAAUGAUGGGUAGGGGAGCUUCCCAUACGGGUUGAAGCAUGACCGUAAGGACAUGUGGACAGUAUGGGAGUGAGAAUGUUGGCAUGAGUAGCGAGAUGUGGGUGAGAAUCCCACAGGCCGUAAACCCAAGGUGUCCAGGGGAAGGUUCGUCCGCCCUGGGUUAGUCGGGACCUAAGCUGAGGCCGAAAGGCGUAGGUGAUGGACAACAGGUUGAUAUUCCUGUACUACCGAUAACCGUUUGAGAGAAGGGAUGACACAGUAGGAUAAGCUAAGCACACUGUUGGUUAUGUGUGCCCAAGCAUUGAGGCAGUCAAAGUAGG